This 258-nucleotide ribosomal RNA is filed under the name uncultured bacterium. Its description in RNAcentral is "partial 16S ribosomal RNA". It matches the Rfam family "Bacterial small subunit ribosomal RNA", at positions 95 to 354 of the family's 1533-position model. The record is from RNAcentral.
CCGGCGCACGGGUGAGUAACACGUAUCCAACCUGCCGAUAACUCGGGGAUAGCCUUUCGAAAGAAAGAUUAAUAUCCGAUAGCAUAUCAAGAUCGCAUGAUCUUGAUAUUAAAGAAUUUCGGUCAUCGAUGGGGAUGCGUUCCAUUAGCUUGUUGGCGGGGUAACGGCCCACCUAGGCAUCGAUGGAUAGGGGUUCUGAGAGGAAGGUCCCCCACAUUGGAACUGAGACACGGUCCAAACUCCUACGGAAGGCAGCAG